Molecule: transfer RNA, 60 nt
Filed under: Diaphorina citri (Asian citrus psyllid)
Lineage: Eukaryota; Metazoa; Arthropoda; Insecta; Hemiptera; Psyllidae
Rfam family: tRNA
About the family: Transfer RNA (tRNA) molecules are approximately 80 nucleotides in length. Their secondary structure includes four short double-helical elements and three loops (D, anti-codon, and T loops).
Source: Rfam by way of RNAcentral
GUGGUGUAUUGUUCAACAUACUUGCCUGGUAAGCAGGAGGGCGUGGGUUCAAUCCCAAUC